GUAGGUGGGCAAGCGUUGUCCGGAAUUAUUGGGCGUAAAGCGCGCGCAGGGCGGUCCUUUAAGUCUGAUGUGAAAGCCCACGGCUCAACCGUGGAGGGUCAUUGGAAACUGGGGGACUUGAGUACAGAAGAGGAAAGCGGAAUUCCGAGUGUAGCGGUGAAAUGCGUAGAGAUUUGGAGGAACACCAGUGGCGAAGGCGGCUUUCUGGUCUGUAACUGACGCUGGGGCGCGAAAGCGUGGGGAGCAAACAGGAUUAGAUACCCUGGUAGUCCACGCCGUAAACGAUGAGUGCUAAGUGUUAGGGGGUUUCCGCCCCUUAGUGCUGCAGCUAACGCAUUAAGCACUCCGCCUGGGGAGUACGGCCGCAAAGGCUG
Molecule: ribosomal RNA, 374 nt
Filed under: uncultured organism
Description: partial 16S ribosomal RNA
Rfam family: Bacterial small subunit ribosomal RNA
Source: RNAcentral